UAAGUAUUUUUUAUUACCAGUUUCUUUUUGAUGAAGUCUCUUUGAAAAUUAGACCAUCCCAUUGAUGUAUUUCUAGUCCAGAUUAUUUCCUAUGUACUGGUAAGGUGGGCUACAUCACAGGAAACAUAGGUGUCCUUACGUUUCCCUUCCUUCUCUUGACAUCCCCCUCACCACCACCCCACGCCACCUCCCCACCCCUACACACACACAUAAUGUUCCUCCUCCUGUGAGGUUUAAGUGGUACAGAAGCUCAGUUUCCCCACAGUAGAAUCAGUCAAAAACUGCCAAAGCUCGAAGGACCUUUGCUGUAUUUUAG
Molecule: long non-coding RNA, 316 nt
Filed under: Bos taurus (domestic cattle)
Lineage: Eukaryota; Metazoa; Chordata; Mammalia; Artiodactyla; Bovidae
Description: long non-coding RNA NONBTAT005628
Source: RNAcentral